This 1250-nucleotide small RNA is filed under the name Histoplasma ohiense. RNAcentral's name for it is "hypothetical lncRNA". Lineage: Eukaryota; Fungi; Ascomycota; Eurotiomycetes; Onygenales; Ajellomycetaceae. The record is from RNAcentral.
GGCCCUGGACCUGUCUGUCCCGUUGUUCCUGGACCUGUGCGCGCUCCCCCGAUACUCCCCCGAUACAGCGCGGUGCUGACCUGGCGAUAAGUACUAUACAGGUUGAUUACAGAGUACGGAGUACCUGGGCGCAGAUUAUUGCGACGAAUCUAUCCCUCUACCCUGACUCACUCGUCGAGUCGCCGCCGAUCAAUUCUGCAAUGACGAAGUCCGGGCUCCUUCCUGCCUGCCAUCAAACCUUCUUCCACCGUUAUGCGGUUUCUCCACUACUUGAACUAUCUAUUACGAAUUCUGAUAACGCUUAAAUACUUAUAGCAGUACGAAGAAUAUGAAGAAUAUAUCACCUGCUGUACGGCCCCGUCGUUCACCGUCCACAGAAUCCCUUACUUCCUGAUACAGCCAGCAAGGAGCAAGUGGAAUUCUUCAGCGAAAAAUGAACGGAAAAAGAAAAAAAACGCCACUGGCCAAUCGUGUAAAGCAAAUCAGAAAAUCGAAGAGUAAAAAAAUCAAAAAAAAAAAAAAAAAUCAAAAAAUCAAAAAAUCAUAAUGAACAAAGCUCUAAAAGCGCUCUCGAAAACCUGGAACACCCCUUUUCCGGUAUUUGGUUCUCGGAAUCUUGGGACCUUUGGUUUCGGCCUUAUAAUUUUCUGAGCUUGGAAUUUAGAGUUUCUUGUUGCGGGAUUGGUCUAUGGUUAUAGCUAUUCUGGUUCCGGGCGUCGGCCGUCUCAAAAAACAACAGGAGGAAAAAGAGAGAGAGAGUGAGUGAGUGAGUGAAAAAAAAGAUGACUUCCACUCAACUCCCAAGACGACAAGGGAUAAAAGGCAAAAGCAAGUAAUGAAAGCAUAAAUUGUGUGACGAAUUCUGGAUAUCUGCCGUUUUAAGAAUAAUGCUUUUGUUUCGCCCUCGAGUGGCAAAACAAGCUGGCCCGCUGCCAUAACAGGAAAUGGUCGGAAAUCUCAAGAAGCGAAAAAGGGAAGCAAAAAAAGGGAAGGAAAAAGCGAGCAAAGAUCAUAAGAGAGCCUUGCAUUUGCUUGGUUGAGGACGAUGGAAGGUGGCCCCUUUUUACUUCGGAUCUCGAUGGAUAUGACGCCACGCUCCCUGUUCCGCGGUUUGGUACUUUGGAAUAUUCUGAUUGACUCGUGGUAGUGGCCUGCGGAACCAACCACGACAGGCGCCGGAACGUGAGAAGAUAAUUGUCUUUUUGGACCAACUGCGACAAGGCGGAGGGAGCCUCUGGGAGGGGUGGGGA